GAGGGGUGCAAGCGUUGUUCGGAAUUACUGGGCGUAAAGCGUGAGGAGGCGGCUUGUUAAGUCUGAUGUGAAAGCCCUGGGCUUAACCCAGGAACUGCAUCGGAAACUAGCAGGCUAGAGUUCGGGAGAGGGUCGUGGAAUUCUUGGUGUAGAGGUGAAAUUCGUAGAUAUCAAGAGGAACACCGGUGGCGAAGGCGGCGACCUGGACCGACACUGACGCUAAUACACGAAAGCGUGGGGAGCAAACAGGAUUAGAUACCCUGGUAGUCCACGCCGUAAACGAUGAACACUAGUUGUCGCGGGUAUUGACCCCUGCGGUGACGCAGAUAACUCAUUAAGUGUUCCGCCUGGGAAGUACGGUCGCAAGACUA
RNAcentral lists this ribosomal RNA (371 nucleotides) under uncultured organism. Its description in RNAcentral is "bacterial SSU rRNA". It matches the Rfam family "Bacterial small subunit ribosomal RNA", at positions 527 to 896 of the family's 1533-position model. The record is from RNAcentral.